RNAcentral lists this unclassified non-coding RNA (378 nucleotides) under uncultured Prochlorococcus sp. RNAcentral describes it as "partial 16S-23S ribosomal RNA intergenic spacer". The record is from RNAcentral. Lineage: Bacteria; Bacillati; Cyanobacteriota; Cyanophyceae; Synechococcales; Prochlorococcaceae.
CCGUUGUGUGAUGUGAUUUAGGAUUUAAGUUUGCUGGCAGACCCUAGCUUCUUAUCAUUCCAGGCCUUAAUUAAUUGAGGUUAGGUUGAUAGGACGCUGGGCUCACUGUAAUUCGCAAGAAUUGCAGAGAUGUUCAGCAGAACCUUGACAACUGCAUAGGUAAGUCUGGAAAGAAUAAAGCAUCUCAUGGAUGCAUGAUUCUUGGGAGUCAACUAAUGCAAUCUGCGUCAGUAGAGAGCUGAGGUUGAUCAACGAGAAUGAUGUUUGAUUCUUGAGUCAAGAGCCGAGACUCUAUAGCGUUCUUUCGAUGUCAUCGAGGCGUCGAGAGUUUGAUUGGUCAUUCAAACCAUCUUCAAUGACAAACAAUUCAGUUUAACU